AUGCAAAUUAAUACCCAAAUUGCAUUCAAGACAAGUUCCUAUUUAUGUUACAUAAAAGUAAAUUCUGGAACUAUUGAUAUUAAUUCCAAGGCUUUAAACUUGCUCCAAUUUCAAUCCAAUACCAUGCUGCAAUGCUGCCCAUACUUUCCAGCUUUGUUUCAACAAAUAAAAACCCAUUUUCCAGCCCUGUUUCAGCAGCAAAACAGUCCCAAAAAGUGUUGUGAAAAAGUAAAAAACAACAACAACCAUAACAGUUAA
This is a non-coding RNA of Vicia faba (fava bean), 258 nucleotides long. The record is from the annotation of a GenBank genome assembly. NCBI's taxonomy places the organism in Eukaryota, Viridiplantae, Streptophyta, Magnoliopsida, Fabales, Fabaceae.